Molecule: ribosomal RNA, 445 nt
Filed under: uncultured bacterium
Lineage: Bacteria
Description: partial 16S ribosomal RNA
Rfam family: Bacterial small subunit ribosomal RNA
Source: RNAcentral
GUGAGGAAUAUUGCGCAAUGGAGGCAACUCUGACGCAGCCAUGCCGCGUGCAGGAAGAAGGCGCUACGCGUUGUAAACUGCUUUUAACCGGGAAGAAACCCCAGGACGUGUCCUGGGUUGACGGUACCGGAGGAAUAAGCACCGGCUAACUUCGUGCCAGCAGCCGCGGUAAUACGAAGGGUGCAAGCGUUAUCCGGAUUCAUUGGGUUUAAAGGGUGCGUAGGCGGAGCGUUAAGUCAGUGGUGAAAUCCUGCAGCUUAACUGUAGACUUGCCAUUGAUACUGGCGCUCUUGAGUGCACUUGAAGUGGGCGGAAUGUGCCGUGUAGCGGUGAAAUGCUUAGAUAUGGCACAGAACACCAAUUGCGAAGGCAGCUCACUAAGGCGAUACUGACGCUGAGGCACGAAAGCGUGGGGAUCGAACAGGAUUAGAUACCCUAGUAGUCC